AAGAAAAACAGAAACCACUCCCUCGUUUUUUUUCAUGAGAAACGUCAUCUAAAUAGACCUGGAUUGAAUAUUAAUUUCCAAACGCGUUCUGUGCAGUUUCCGAAAUUCAUUUAUUUGUUUCUCGUUGGAUAUUACACUUUACAUUAAAGGGCCAGAUCGAGAAGGUUACCGUCAUGUACGCCACCUCCGUUUCACAAGGUCAAGCAAUUGACGAUUUCCACCCUCGAAGCCAGUACGACGAAUCAGGAAACUUGGUCGUUCACAUUUGUAUUCGACUUCGGCAGGGCACAUCCGGUGUGGUAAAAGUUGCAUACGAAUCAAAUCGUAUUAGGAAAAAGCCUGGAAGAGGGGCACUAGACUGGCCCAGCUUAGUAUGGGGAGAAAAAAAUGUUGUCGAAUUCCACGGGGCACCCCCCAGAAUUGUGUUUUAAGUCAAAAUGUAUAGGAAAAUACACAUCCGUCACUUAUUCGUUCUGGAAAUUGGUUCUGAUUGCUCGAUAGAACGUCGUACUGUGGACAAAGUGAGCCAGCAGAUCAUCAGUUACUUCCUGCGCGAGAACACUAUCUUGUUUACGGUAAGCCAAGGAGGAA
Armigeres subalbatus is the source of this 591-nucleotide long non-coding RNA. RefSeq lists it as uncharacterized. The record is from RefSeq and is a predicted model, not a curated record. The transcript has 3 exons. NCBI's taxonomy places the organism in Eukaryota, Metazoa, Arthropoda, Insecta, Diptera, Culicidae.